RNAcentral lists this ribosomal RNA (468 nucleotides) under uncultured bacterium. RNAcentral describes it as "partial 16S ribosomal RNA". It matches the Rfam family "Bacterial small subunit ribosomal RNA", at positions 28 to 507 of the family's 1533-position model. The record is from RNAcentral.
GACGAACGCUGGCGGCGUGCUUAACACAUGCAAGUCGAACGGAAAGGCCCUGCUUUUGUGGGGUGCUCGAGUGGCGAACGGGUGAGUAACACGUGAGUAACCUGCCCUUGACUUUGGGAUAACUUCAGGAAACUUGGGCUAAUACCGGAUAGGAGCUACUGCUGCAUGGUGGGGGUUGGAAAGUUUCGGCGGUUGGGGAUGGACUCGCGGCUUAUCAGCUUGUUGGUGGGGUAGUGGCUUACCAAGGCUUUGACGGGUAGCCGGCCUGAGAGGGUGACCGGCCACGUUGGGACUGAAAUACGGCCCAGACUCCUACGGGAGGCAGCAGUGGGGAAUAGUGCACAAUGGGCGGAAGCCUGAUGCAGCAACGCCGCGUGCGGGAUGACGGCCUUCGGGUUGUAAACCGCUUUCGCCUGUGACGAAGCGUGAGUGACGGUAAUGGGUAAAGAAGCACCGGCUAACUACGUG